RNAcentral lists this ribosomal RNA (891 nucleotides) under Fungiacyathus marenzelleri. RNAcentral's name for it is "eukaryotic LSU rRNA". It matches the Rfam family "Eukaryotic large subunit ribosomal RNA", at positions 113 to 778 of the family's 3401-position model. The record is from RNAcentral. Lineage: Eukaryota; Metazoa; Cnidaria; Anthozoa; Scleractinia; Fungiacyathidae.
ACUUGAAAUCUCCGAUGCUUGCGUCGGCGAGUUGUAGUUGCGAGAAGCACUUUCUCGGCGGAUCGGUGGCGCCCAAGUUGCUUGGAACAGUACGUCGCAGAGGGUGACAACCCCGUCCGUGGCGUCGCCGGCCGCUCACGAUGUGCUUUCGAAGAGUCGGGUUGUUUGGGAAUGCAGCCCAAAACGGGUGGUAAACUCCAUCUAAAGCUAAAUAUUGACGUGAGACCGAUAGCGAACAAGUACCGUGAGGGAAAGAUGAAAAGAACUUUGAAAAGAGAGUUAAAAAGUACGUGAAACCGUUGGAAGGGAAACGAAUGGACUCAGCAAUGCGCCGUCUUUGAGAUUCAGCCGCGCGGGUCGGCUCGGCCCGGGACUUGCGGAUCCGAACGGACCGCGGUUCUGGGCUCGUUUCGGCCCGCCGUCGCACUUCUCUUGGGCGCAAGUCAACGUCGGUUGGGUCUGGGUCUGAAAGGUUCCGGGAAGGUGAGUCGGGGCUUCGUUUCCUCUUCGGGGGUGGCGUCGCUCCGUCCGUUACAGCCUGGUUCUCUGUCUGGCUCGGACUCGACCGAGGUGGUCGCAGCGCAUGCCUCUUUUGGCUAGGGUCCCGUCUCCUCCGGCCGGUCUUUCGACUGCGGUGGACUGCUUGCAGUGCUCCGCGACAGCUGCCGGUCGUUGGGGCGGUGAUCUCCUACCAUGCGCUCGGGACGUUGGCGGUCAUAUGGGUCCAUCCGACCCGUCUUGAAACACGGACCAAGGAGUCUAACAUGUGCGCGAGUCUUAGGGUGCUCGAAACCCCGAGGCGGAAUGAAAGUGAAAGCGGCUUCGGCCGCCGAGGCGAGAUCCCGUCGCCGUUCGCGGUGUGCGGGCGCAUCAUCGACCGACCUAUUCUAC